RNAcentral lists this long non-coding RNA (675 nucleotides) under Nicotiana benthamiana. Its description in RNAcentral is "long non-coding RNA (NBEN_LNC038214)". The record is from RNAcentral. Lineage: Eukaryota; Viridiplantae; Streptophyta; Magnoliopsida; Solanales; Solanaceae.
ACAAUCUCACACCCUGCCUUUAGUUCUUUGUAUUGAUCCAACUUAGACAUUCCGCCAUAAACUGCAGAGACACGGAUACCAUGCGAUUUAGAAAAUUUCUUUGCCUCCACAAAUAUUUGAUGUGCUAAUUCCCUAGUAGGUGCACAAAUAACUCCAAUGGGACCUUCUUCUUUCUGAAGUUCAGGCUGAUCCAUAAUGUGGACAAUCAUAGGAAGCACAAAAGCAGCAGUCUUGCCAGAACCAGUUUUAGCAAUACCAAUAAUAUCUCUCCCAGAGAGCACAAUUGGCAAUGCUUGACACUGUAUUGGUGUAGGCUUUUCAUAUCCCUGUUUACUGAUAGCUUCAUCAACUCAACAGAAAAACCACAGUUUUGUGGUAUUGUUUACCUGGAGUAGCAACAACAAUCUCACAUCCAGCCUUUAGUUCUUUGUAUUGAUCCAAUUUAGACAUUCCUCCAUAAACUGCAGAGACACGGAUACCAUGAGAUUUAGAGAACUUCUUUGCCUCCACAAAUAUUUGAUGUGCUAAUUCCCUAGUAGGUGCACAAAUAACUCCAAUGGGACCUUCGUCUUUAUGAAGUUCAGGCUGAUCCAUAAUGUGGACAAUCAUAGGAAGCACAAAAGCAGCAGUCUUGCCGGACCCAGUUUUAGCAAUACCAAUAAUAUCUCUCCCAGA